Long non-coding RNA from Neopelma chrysocephalum (saffron-crested tyrant-manakin), 1117 nucleotides. RefSeq lists it as uncharacterized. Lineage: Eukaryota; Metazoa; Chordata; Aves; Passeriformes; Pipridae. The record is from RefSeq and is a predicted model, not a curated record. The transcript has 5 exons.
UAUGUGUGGUUUGAUACAGAUCCUGCAUGUUGGCAACAUGUGCAUUGGUCCAUCAUUUUGGUUUCAUGUGAUAAAACUGCUUGAUAUAAAGUUAAGUACAAUUGCAUUUUUAAUAAAACACGCAGUGCAUAUUUUGAUGUGUGCCUUUUUCCUUUGUAAAGAAAUGAAGAGUUUAUGUGUGUGUCUGCUUAACUUGAAUAUUGCAAUAUUUUCCACAGAAUUUCAUUUGUUUACGCCUAAUAAAACUGCCCUUCUUUUUGGAGGUGAAGCUGACAUUUCUUCCCGUGUUCUUUAGGCCUGCAAGCAGUCCCUGGGCUCCUUUGAAGACUACAGGCAGUGCUACACAGAUCAGUGCUGCUGUGUAACACUAGAACCCUCUGUUCCCCAAAAUGCAGUUCCUGUAGAGAAAACCCGAUCUGCUGCUGCUGGGAGCUGUCACACUUGUAAUUCUAAACAGUUUUUUUUGCUGAAAUAGUGAUCAGGUGGUGUGUGAGAACUGAUUCAUGCGCUCAUGACCGUUCAUAUUCCAGAGCUCCCAUCAAACCUGUUUAAAACAAAAUCUUUCCUGGGGCUCAGCAUUAUGAGAAGAUGGUGAUUCAUUGUUCCUGGGGGCUGGCUGGAGGAGUGUCUGUUUUCCCAGCAGGCAAAAUCAUUCCUUCUGGUAAUCUGGGAAUACCAAGUGCUUGAAACAGCAGGAAAGAUUGCAGAUCUGGAGACAGUAGAGAGGGAGGAGCCAAUCUGUGCAUCUCUGAGCUUAAGAGGAAGAUCUUACUAAGGACUGCUGAGCCUGAACAGCUGCCUUGUAGGAAAUGGGAAGUUGAAUGACGUGAAGCCUUGAGCUCAUCCUGGAAAUCUCCUUCCCUUGCAUCACCCAUCACCCCUCCAGCACUUGGCACUUCUGUUCAGGGCCAAGGUGGGAAAAAGCCUCUGGAUGCUGUCCCCGGAUUCAGUCAAGAAUGGUGAUUCUGGCACGUUGCUUUGUGCCUUGAAGAGCAGUCACUUGACCCACCCAGCCCGGGGACAAGCAGCUGUGACAGUGAGGGGUCCCAGGAAAGAAGUUGCAGGGUGCCCAGUGGAGAAUCCUGUGGUGCCCUGGCAGAAGGAGGUUGUGUGUGGG